Molecule: ribosomal RNA, 84 nt
Filed under: Clinacanthus nutans
Lineage: Eukaryota; Viridiplantae; Streptophyta; Magnoliopsida; Lamiales; Acanthaceae
Description: partial 5.8S ribosomal RNA
Source: RNAcentral
UGUAGAAUCCCAUGAACCAUUGAGUCUUCGAACGAAAGUUGCACCCGAAGCCCUCGGGUCACGGGUACGCCUGCCUGGGCGUCA